Molecule: long non-coding RNA, 773 nt
Organism: Cercocebus atys (sooty mangabey)
Lineage: Eukaryota; Metazoa; Chordata; Mammalia; Primates; Cercopithecidae
Exons: 3
Source: RefSeq, a predicted model, not a curated record
UAAAGUGUGGAGAAUAUAGAUUUAUAUAUAUUGCUUUGAACAUCUGCCAAGCAGUAGAAGAGGCAAAUUAGGAAGUGUUUAGUAAGAUACUUCUAGAAGCUAAGUUAGUUCUAGGCUGCAUAUCAGGCAUCCUGAGUACCCAUUGAUUGGUACCAAUUUACUUAGCAUUCAUGGGUGAGGUUUCACUUGUUCACGGACUUUGAAUCCCUGGUGUGUAUGGCAGUGGUUAUUACAGUGGCUAUACAAACUGAUGUCAUGCUAAUUGCCAAAGGUUUGGAACUCUUCCAUAUUUGAAGGCUGCUGGAUUUGUUGUCCACUUAUUAAAUGGCUAAAUGAAUGAGACUAAUAACAGGAAAUGCAUUGGAAUGGAAAAUUUUUAAUAAUACCUCUGAGUAUUCAUUGAUGGCAAGUUCGAUUAUGUCAUGUGAUGAUCACUUCAAAAUCCUAUGUCAGAUAGAUAAAAAUUCCAAAGCUUGCAAGCCUAAAAUUUACCCUGUGCAGAAUUUUGAGUUUCAUGAUUUUACAUCCUAGGCUUCUAUAAUAGGAUAUCAGCGGAGAAUGGAAUCAUUAGAGGAGACACAGAGUAGAUGAAAUAAUUAUGAGAAAAGUGAAUGAAAUAACAUUAGAGUAACAUUAUAACAAUUAGCUAAAGCAUCCUUGCACAACUGGAGAAAACUGAUAAUUUGGAUGACUCAUCGAGCAAAACAAAGAUCCCUGUCCUUUUGGAACUUAUAUUCUAGCAGCAGGAGAAAGAAAAUAAUAAACAACAGACU